CAUUGGAUUCUAUAUAAUUCU
RNAcentral lists this non-coding RNA (21 nucleotides) under Caenorhabditis elegans. Lineage: Eukaryota; Metazoa; Nematoda; Chromadorea; Rhabditida; Rhabditidae. The record is from RNAcentral.